RNAcentral lists this ribosomal RNA (300 nucleotides) under uncultured bacterium. RNAcentral's name for it is "bacterial SSU rRNA". It matches the Rfam family "Bacterial small subunit ribosomal RNA", at positions 28 to 329 of the family's 1533-position model. The record is from RNAcentral.
GACGAACGCUGGCGGCGUGCUUAACACAUGCAAGUCGAGCGGUAAGGCCCUUUCGGGGGUACACGAGCGGCGAACGGGUGAGUAACACGUGGGUGACCUGCCCUCAGCUCUGGGAUAAGCCUGGGAAACUGGGUCUAAUACCGGAUAUGACUCCAUGACGCAUGUUGUGGGGUGGAAAGCCUUGUGCGGCUGAGGAUGGGCCCGCGGCCUAUCAGCUUGUUGGUGGGGNGAUGGCCUACCAAGGCGACGACGGGUAGCCGGCCUGAGAGGGCGACCGGCCACACUGGGACUGAGACACGG